UGGGGAAUAUUGCACAAUGGGCGAAAGCCUGAUGCAGCAACGCCGCGUGAGUGAUGAAGGCCUUCGGGUUGUAAAGCUCUGUCUUUUGGGACGAUAAUGACGGUACCAAAGGAGGAAGCCACGGCUAACUACGUGCCAGCAGCCGCGGUAAUACGUAGGUGGCAAGCGUUGUCCGGAUUUACUGGGCGUAAAGGAUGCGUAGGCGGAUUUUUAAGUGAGAUGUGAAAACCCUAAGCUUAACUUGGGGACUGCAUUUCAUACUGGAAAAUCUAGAGUGCGGGAGAGGAGAAUGGAAUUCCUAGUGUAGCGGUGAAAUGCGUAGAGAUUAGGAAGAACACCAGUGGCGAAGGCGAUUCUCUGGACCGUAACUGACGCUGAGGCAUGAAAGCGUGGGUAGCAAACAGGAUUAGAUACCCUGGUAGUCCACGCCGUAAACGAUGAGUACUAGGUGUAGGAGGUAUCGACCCCUUCUGUGCCGCAGUUAACACAAUAAGUACUCCGCCUGGGAAGUACGAUCGCAAGAUUAAAACUCAAAUGAAUUGACGGGGUCAUAGCUGUUUCCU
This 563-nucleotide ribosomal RNA is filed under the name uncultured bacterium. RNAcentral's name for it is "partial 16S ribosomal RNA". It matches the Rfam family "Bacterial small subunit ribosomal RNA", at positions 355 to 1375 of the family's 1533-position model. The record is from RNAcentral.